UUCCUGCGUAAAGCUAAUCUGCGCAGGGUUAGCCGGCCCCUAAGGCGAGGCAGAAAUGCGUAGUCGAUGGGAACCAGGUCAAUAUUCCUGGGCCGGGAGGUGGUGACGAAUUCCGUAUAUGGUUAGUCCUUAUUGGAUUGGACUAGCUGAGAAGGAGUUCCAGGAAAUAGCCCCUCCAUAACGACCGUACCCUAAACCGACACAGGUGGACAGGUAGAGUAUACUAAGGCGCUUGAGA
This 238-nucleotide ribosomal RNA is filed under the name Nephroselmis pyriformis. RNAcentral describes it as "partial Bacterial large subunit ribosomal RNA". It matches the Rfam family "Bacterial large subunit ribosomal RNA", at positions 1352 to 1695 of the family's 2925-position model. Lineage: Eukaryota; Viridiplantae; Chlorophyta; Nephroselmidophyceae; Nephroselmidales; Nephroselmidaceae. The record is from RNAcentral.